GCAAACAGAAAGGGGGAGAGGAGAAGAACCCUAACCCUCAUCCAACCUUCAAACCACCGUAUCUCUCUCGUUUGAGCUCCGAUUGCCACACCGUUUGCGGCCACGCGUCCAGCGCGUCGAGCUCUACCUUUCUAUUUGAAAAAUUUCACUGGUUCAAGUUAGCUUUCGGGACUUAUGGGCUCAAGCUAUUGAGCAUAUGGGUAUGGUGUAGAUUAAGUGGGUAUAUAUGCAUUGGAAUUGAAUUAAGAGUACUUGGAGGCUUGUUGGUGGUCAAGGCUUGUUUUGGGGCUAUUUUGAUUGAGCUUGGAGGGGCUGUGAUUUGUGUUGAGAGGCUGCCUUGGGUGAAACUAAGUGAUCGGCCAAGAUGCAGGUUGAGAGGCUCCUCGCUAGGCGUCUGGAUCUUGGGAAGCG
This is a non-coding RNA of Arachis ipaensis, 411 nucleotides long. Lineage: Eukaryota; Viridiplantae; Streptophyta; Magnoliopsida; Fabales; Fabaceae. The record is from RefSeq and is a predicted model, not a curated record.